UCACUGGUGGUUCGUAAACAUCCCACCAUAAUAAAAAACUAGGAAGAA
Molecule: non-coding RNA, 48 nt
Filed under: Ligilactobacillus ceti
Lineage: Bacteria; Bacillati; Bacillota; Bacilli; Lactobacillales; Lactobacillaceae
Also listed under: 1 other name
Description: Lactobacillus ceti PreQ1-I sequence
Rfam family: PreQ1 (pre queuosine) riboswitch aptamer
About the family: This family is a bacterial riboswitch that binds to the metabolite preQ1, an intermediate in the biosynthesis of the modified nucleoside queuosine from GTP. One example of this riboswitch is located in the leader of the Bacillus subtilis ykvJKLM (queCDEF) operon which encodes four genes necessary for queuosine production.
Source: RNAcentral